Aquila chrysaetos chrysaetos is the source of this 1572-nucleotide long non-coding RNA. RefSeq lists it as uncharacterized. NCBI's taxonomy places the organism in Eukaryota, Metazoa, Chordata, Aves, Accipitriformes, Accipitridae. The record is from RefSeq and is a predicted model, not a curated record. The transcript is spliced from 3 exons.
AAACUAGUUGCAGUGGAUGAUAAGGAACUUCUUCAAGAACUUGCAAGAUUUUCUUCUGUGUUGUUACAAGAGAUGUUGCGCAAUAAGCUGCAGGGAAUUAUAUUUAGACGUGAUGGACUGAAGAGGAGCCACAUAUAAAUUAGGGAUCAGGGCCAUCCACUGGAAAAAUUAUGAAAAGACCCCUCCCUCCAAUAGGCUUUGGGCAUAUAGGUUUUGGGCUGGAGUUUGUUGCCCAUCCUCACCCUCUGCAUAAACAGCAGGAGAUUGAAUACCCCAAUGGAAGAGCAUGUAUGCAGAGUUCUGUGGCAGAAUAUUUAAGGUAUGUGGGCAAUCUAUGGCAAGUAUAUCUGAAGAAGGUGUGACCGGCUAUAAGAAUCAGCUGGACUUGAGUAUGGAGACCCAGAAGUGCCAGCAAGCUCAGAAAAGGAAAUAAUUGGAAGAAUAUUGCUAGACAUAGAAGCAGAACACAUUCUUCUGCAACAAUUGUUGACUCAGAAUAAAUAAGUCAUUGAAAACAUCAGCAGUGAAAUGACAGAUCCUGGUGCUUUUUGAUUCUCUGGUGGAUUUUAUUACUUAGACGUUGCUACUGACAUUUUUAUUAUCCUAUUUAAUACAUCUUGAAUCUAUCUGUACAUAAAAAUAUAACUGGACAACUGCAUUUUGAUACUGUUUAAUAACACUUUUGAACAUUAAAUCGUUUGCCAAGAUGAGUGCUGAAGGAUAUCAAUACAGAGCUUUAUAUGACUACAAAAAAGAGCGAGAAGAAGACAUUGACUUGCACUUAGGAGAUAUAUUAACUGUGAAUAAAGGUACCUUACUAGCACUUGGAUUCAGUGAAGGGGAAGAAGCAAAGCCUGAGGAAAUUAGUUGGUUAAAUGGCUUUAAUGAAACCACAGGGGAGAGGGGGGAUUUCCCAGGAACUUAUGUAGAGUACAUUGGAAAAAAAAAAAUAACUCCCCCAACUCCGAAGCCUCGUCCUCUUCGACCCCUUCCUGUAGCACCAAGUCCUGCAAAAGUUGAAGCAGAGAGUGAGCAACAAGGUUAGUACUGUUCUCAGAAGACUUGUGUGUCCCCCACAGGGACACAGGUAUUUCAGGUAUUUUUGUUUCAUAGACUUGCAUGACCAUACAUUUACAUAUAUAAUAUAUGCUGGUCAGCUUUAUUUAGUGCAUGCCUCAUUUCAGUCAAUUAAGAAUUGUUUCUACUUCAUAAUAUUUAGCUCAUACGCUUUGUAAUUUCAUGUGCUUUGUCUCAGCUACUGGUCUCUGUGGUGCCUUACUGUGAGGGACAUCUCACAGGUUGGAAAGUAUGCUUGUAAUUCACAACUGUAAAGACUUAAAUGGAGAAUGAGCAGGGUAGCAUUUAUUUUAGGUUUCUAAGAAGCUGAUGGAAGUGUUUCCCUCUGUGGUUCAUCAAACUCACUGUUGAGAAACUUCUUGGUGAAUUUGACAAUACGAAUUCCAAAUAAACAGUAUGUUCCUAUCAUAAAUCUCUUGCUAACAGCAAAAAAUAUAUACUUUGUCAUGGAGGUUUACAUAUAGCAUUAAAAGUAAGAGCAGGCAUUUUAAAAUG